AAAUAAACCACUCCAUUGCAGAAAAGCGUGGGCAGGCAGGACUUCACUCCACUGCAGCCCCGGGAAGUCGAAAUAAACAUUGAGAUGGCUUGGCAUCUUCUUCCGAGCAAGCGCAGCUCUCAGGCCGGGCCUGAGCCUGCAGCCUGUGUGCCCUCCAUCAUCAGGGCCCCCUCUCAGGACAGGCUACACCGAGGGUGGGACGGCGGACUUCCAGGGACACUUCCAAGUCGUGCCCAUGCAGAUACCUCAGUAUACACUGCCCACAGUUAAGAAACCACGACCUGAGACAUUGUUUUGAAGAGGUGAAAAUGCCUCCACUCAAGUGGCCCAGGAGCGUGAUCCAGGAAGACGAACACACAGAACCAUCUUCUGCAUGGUUUGAAAAUUCAGUGGAAACUAGGACUCCAAGCUGCUGUCCCCUCUCUGCCGCAUCUGAGGCUGGGAAAACUUCCUAGGAGAAGGCAAGAGAAAGCCACCAGACCAGAGCCGAGGACUAAACUUUAAGGUCGAAGACGGCAGAGGGGCAGGUUCUCCCCUGCACACCCCAAGGCCUCUCCUGCACCCGCGAGGCCUUCCUUGAGCGCCCAGGCCCCCGAAAUGCCUGCCCUCCUUCUGACAAAAGGAGGGGGUAGGAUGUGAAGGGGUAGUGCAACCAACAAUGUUUUUGUAAACACAACAACAGGGAAAUACAUGGAGGAAAUCUA
RNAcentral lists this long non-coding RNA (704 nucleotides) under Homo sapiens (human). Its description in RNAcentral is "SOX1 overlapping transcript (SOX1-OT)". The record is from RNAcentral. Lineage: Eukaryota; Metazoa; Chordata; Mammalia; Primates; Hominidae.